UGGGGAAUUUUGGACAAUGGGCGAAAGCCUGAUCCAGCAAUGCCGCGUGUGUGAAGAAGGCCUUCGGGUUGUAAAGCACUUUUGUCCGGAAAGAAAUCCUUGGCUCUAAUACAGUCGGGGGAUGACGGUACCGGAAGAAUAAGCACCGGCUAACUACGUGCCAGCAGCCGCGGUAAUACGUAGGGUGCAAGCGUUAAUCGGAAUUACUGGGCGUAAAGCGUGCGCAGGCGGUUUGCUAAGACCGAUGUGAAAUCCCCGGGCUCAACCUGGGAACUGCAUUGGUGGCUGGCAGGCUAGAGUAUGGCAGAGGGGGGUAGAAUUCCACGUGUAGCAGUGAAAUGCGUAGAGAUGUGGAGGAAUACCGAUGGCGAAGGCAGCCCCCUGGGCCAAUACUGACGCUCAUGCACGAAAGCGUGGGGAGCAAACAGGAUUAGAUACCCUGGUAGUCCACGCCCUAAACGAUGUCAACUAGUUGUUGGGAUUCAUUUCCUUAGUAACGUAGCUAACGCGUGAAGUUGACCGCCUGGGGAGUACGGUCGCAAGAUUAAAACUCAAAUGAAUUGACGGGGUCAAU
RNAcentral lists this ribosomal RNA (574 nucleotides) under uncultured bacterium. Its description in RNAcentral is "partial 16S ribosomal RNA". It matches the Rfam family "Bacterial small subunit ribosomal RNA", at positions 355 to 923 of the family's 1533-position model. The record is from RNAcentral.